UACGUAGGGUGCGAGCGUUGUCCGGAAUUAUUGGGCGUAAAGAGCUCGUAGGCGGUCUGUCGCGUCGAUCGUGAAAACUUGGGGCUUAACCCUGAGCUUGCGGUCGAUACGGGCAUGACUGGAGUUCGGCAGGGGAGACUGGAAUUCCUGGUGUAGCGGUGAAAUGCGCAGAUAUCAGGAGGAACACCGGUGGCGAAGGCGGCAUCCUGGACCGACAUUGACGCUGAGGAGCGAAAGCUAGGGGAGCAAACGGG
This 254-nucleotide ribosomal RNA is filed under the name uncultured bacterium. RNAcentral describes it as "partial 16S ribosomal RNA". It matches the Rfam family "Bacterial small subunit ribosomal RNA", at positions 524 to 776 of the family's 1533-position model. The record is from RNAcentral.